GGUUGGUGCAAAAGUAACUGCGGUUUUUGCCAUAACUUUUAAUGGCAAAAACCACAAGUACUUUUGCGCCAA
Molecule: microRNA precursor, 72 nt
Filed under: Colobus angolensis palliatus
Lineage: Eukaryota; Metazoa; Chordata; Mammalia; Primates; Cercopithecidae
Description: miRNA (ENSCANG00000008157.1)
Source: RNAcentral